UGGGGAAUCUUGCGCAAUGGGCGAAAGCCUGACGCAGCAACGCCGCGUGUGUGAUGAAGGUCUUCGGAUCGUAAAGCACUGUCGCGAGGGAAGAUACGCCGGCUGAUAACACCAGUCGGCUAAGACGGUACCUCGAGAGGAAGCACCGGCUAACUCUGUGCCAGCAGCCGCGGUAAUACAGAGGGGGCAAGCGUUAUUCGGAAUUAUUGGGCGUAAAGGGCGCGUAGGCGGUGUCUUGAGUGAGAUGUGUAAUCCCCGAGCUUAACUUGGGAACUGCAUCUCAGACUGGGACGCUAGAGUGCUGGAGAGGGUGGUGGAAUUCCACGUGUAGCGGUGAAAUGCGUAGAGAUGUGGAGGAACACCAGUGGCGAAGGCGGCCACCUGGACAGUAACUGACGCUGAGGCGCGAAAGUGUGGGCAGCAAACAGG
RNAcentral lists this ribosomal RNA (429 nucleotides) under uncultured bacterium. Its description in RNAcentral is "bacterial SSU rRNA". It matches the Rfam family "Bacterial small subunit ribosomal RNA", at positions 355 to 776 of the family's 1533-position model. The record is from RNAcentral.